CGCGGGUCCGGGGGCCGCCAUGUUGGGAAGGUCGCGGCCGUUCCCGCCUGAGGGGAGCGGGGCCUCGGCAGAGCGGGAGCGCUGCAAAAACCCUUUUGUGGGGAAAUUCAGGGAAAAGCGGCUUAAAAUAGAUAUUUUUAAGCCAUGUUUCUAGCGGAAAAUCCACUCUGAAAUGGAAAUUGCGAAAAUAGAAACUGGACCCCCACGUCUGGAAGCCAAACCCCACCACCUGGAAUACAUAUCCUGAAUGUAUAUCCUGAAAUAUUGAAAUUUAAAAUAGACUACAACAGAUAUUGAAUAAUGGAAAUUACAUAUAGAUAUCCUGAGUGUAUAUCCUGAAAUAUUGAAAUCUAAAAUAGACUACAAUAGGUAUUGAAUAAUGACGUUAAAAAUUGGGAAUUGAAACUGCUGAGAAAAGCUUAUGAAUAUGUAUGAAUAUAGCAAAUAAAAUCCCAGCAAGUCCAGCAGUGGGUGUGGAAAGGAAAAUCCUUCCACUGUACCCAGCACUGUCUCUGCUCACACUUCAUUAAUUAAUGCUAAUUAAUUAAUUAAUAAAUUGAAUUGCUGCUUGAUAUAGUGGCCGUGUCAAGCGUCUGGUUUCUAACACGACAAAAGUGCAAAGCAGGGUGAGAUAAUCCACAUUUAAAUCCUCAUCCAGGUGUGCUGACCAUGUCAGCACUGAGAAAACUCCAGGAAACCCCAGUGGCAAUAAUUAUUGUGAUUUAAUUGCUAUUGUGACACAACUUUAACUCAAACACUGGUGUUGUAACUUCUGAUUUAACAUCUCAACCUGCACAGAAAACUCUUAUUCCAGGCUGAUUGUGUCCAUCAUGCACAGAACAGGCAAUUCCUCUUAAAUAUGUGGGAAAAGUGUCCCCAAGAGUUGCGUGAACUACUUGAAUCAUCCUGAGAGAGAGACAGGGAGAGAAAAAUAUAAAUUCUGAAGUUCAGUGUAAUUUUCAGCUUGUUCUAAACAGCUUUAAGCAUUUUUGCUUUCUCCUAUUAUAUUAUCCAAUUAUAUUAUCUCCAGUGUGCUGCUGUCUCCCUGCUGACAUUUCCCAAAGGAUUGUAGGAGCACUUUGCCUAUCCCUGUAUUUCCAGCUAUUAAAAUUAAUACAUUUUAAUUAAAAUGUAUUAAAUUAAAAAUACUUUUAAAUUAAAAUUAAAAAUACUCCAACAUUCAGCAGUAAAUGCAGGUGAACUUUUGAACAUUUGGGUCAAGAAUUUCCACCAAAGAGCUCCCUCCAUGGCACAGGAUUGUGGCCGUUCCCAGGCCAUGGGAAAUAUGGAAAAUUCCAUAUUUCCCUCAUUUUUCUUACACAUUUCUCUCUUUUAGUGCCAGUCACAGCUCGAAGACAAAUGCUGACACUUUGUUUGCACAGAGAAAAUUUCACACUUGGUUUACUUUAGCUCAGUGGUGAAUGCAUCAGACUUUAAAUUGAAAAAUUCCUUUUGAUUGUUUCUCCUGAGAGAAAACCUAAAAGGAACACGGCAAUUUUAAAGGCCUCUGUUUUAUUUUCAAGUAAUUAAAUAUUUUUAAAUGAAAUUAUGUGGAGCUUAAACAAACAAACCAAAAAAGAGAAAAAAAUAAUCAAGGAACAAGGUGCUUUCUUCCCAGGAUCCUUUUGUGGUCUGUUGAGGUGGGGAAGCCCUAAAAGGCUCCUCUAAGGAGUGUUAGAAAUGAGACGCUUGACAUGGCCAAUAGAUCAAGCAGCAAUUCAAUUUAAUAAUGAAUUAAUUAAUAUGGUAAAGUGAGCAAAGACAGCGCUGGGUACAGUGGAAGGAUUUUCCCUUCCGACUGCACCCCGAUUUCUGGACUUGCUGGGGUUUUAUUUGCUAUAUUCAUACAUAUUCAUAAGCUUUCUCAGCAGUUUCCAUUUCUAGUUUUAACGUCACAAUUCAACACUUAACAGUCAUAAAUUCAUAUUUUGUCCUGUACAAUUCUAUAGGCUAUUGUGAUCUAUUUCGAUAUUUCAAUAUUUCAGGAUAUACAUUCAGGAUAUGUAUAUGUAAUUUCCAUUAAUCAAUACCUGUUGCAGUCCAUUUUAGAUUUCAAUAUUCCAGGAUGUACAUUCAGGAUAUGCAUAUGUAAUUUCCAUUAUUCCAUACCUGUUGUAGUCCAUUUUAGAUUUCAAUAUUCCAGGAUGUACAUCCAGGAUAUGUAUAUGAAAUUUCCAUUAUUCAAUACCUGUUGUAGUCCAUUUUAGAUUUCAAUAUUUCAGGAUGUACACUCAGGAUAUCUAUAUGUAAUUUCCAUUAUUCCAUACCUAUUGUAGUCCAUUUUAGAUUUCAAUAUUUCAGGAUGUACAUCCAGGAUUUGUAUUCCAGAUGUGGGGUCCAGUUUUAUUUUCCAGGCCCAUCAAUCUCCGAUAGUGAUUUUUCAGUUUCCCUCUUCAGGAGCCAUCAAUCAGUGAGCUGAAAUCUUUCUUUUGGUCCAGGAUGCUUUCCCACCUUCUGUGAAAGGCCUGGGCCCCCUUCUUAUUUCCUUCUUUUGCCUAAAAGCCUUUUUACAUUCUAAAACUGCAGUUAAAAAUUAAUACAAAGUAAGCUUCUAAAGUUAUAAUUAACAGACGCUUAUUCCAGAAUAGCUUGAGACUUAUAACAGGUAAUUGCAAGCAAAAGAUUUUUUCAAAAAUUUCCUUCCAUGCUUUCCUUGGUUAUUUAUUAGAACUCAUCUUUAGAACUGUCCCAUGGCCGUGUUCUACAAUUAUAAUUACACAGAUUCUUUUGAUUUCCCUGACACAAAACACAACUUUGUGUUUCACAGGAGGCACCAAAAGAAGCAGAAUUCCUGAAUUCCCAUUCCCAGAAACCACUGGAAAAUUACACACAGGGCUCUGGCACAACUUCCUGCAGGAAGCAGUGAGGCAACAGUGGCAGCAGAGCACAGGAAACUCCAGCACAACAAAAACUUAAACUUAACUCCCUGCAAGGCCUGACACACAGAACACCACGAAUCUCCCCAUGCUGUAAAAAAGUCUCAGGGCUGCUGUUCCCUGAGAUUCUCCUGGGGGCUGCUGUUCCCUGAGGUAAAUGAGGUUUUCUGUCUUCUCUUUGCCCUGAGUGUUUCACCCCGGAGCCAGAGCAGCCAGGCUGAGUCCCCAGUCCGAGUUUCCAGGGUUGUUUAUUCUCCAUCAUCUCUCAGUUCUGUCCCAGCUCUGCAGGGCGUCCCCAGCAGAGCAGGACACGCGGGGGACUGGGCGGGUCAGAGGGUCCCGGACCCUUUGUACCAUUCCCUGGCCCAAACACAUCCAAAAUGAACUUUUUAUUGACAGAAUCUUACCAAUACUCACUGCCUAUGUUAACAUGUCAUUUCUACUCUAAACCAAUCCUUGUGAUCCAACUCAGCAGAAAAUGGGGGAUGAGAACAAGAACAAGGAGCACAGGGACCACUCCCCAAUUCCUCCAUCUCGCCUCUUCAAACCCAUACACUAAAAAUCCUAAAUUCUACAUUCACACUCUGUGAUAAACUAACUACUGCUUAUUUUGAAUUCUCUCGGGUUGUGAUUCUUCACACACUGUGGGCAUUCACUCCAUGGCAGGGAUCAGAGGCAGUGCCCUCCUGGGCUCUGUGUGAGGCUGCCUGAGCCCCUGGACAGACCCCAGACCCCCUGUCCGGUCCCCAAACCCUCCAGGGCGGCCACAGGGAUGUCCUGGACUCUGACAAAAAAGGCACCUCCAGCUUGCAGAUUCCCCUCACAAAACUCUGGGUGGAUUUGGGCACAGCAGGAUUUAUUCAUCAUAAGCUCAGCCUAGAUCCUGCACCCCAGAAAAGCCCAGAACCAAACUCUGAGAGGUUGGAAUGAAGCAGGAAUAGCUGCAAGUGUCCCCCUGCAGCUGUGGGGUCACAUCCACAGAAGUCGGGGCAGCACUUCUAAGCAAAUCCAGCCAUUUGAAAUCCAAACUUUUCUUUGGAGAUGUCUCUUGGUCUUUAUGAUCCAUCAGGGACCCGGAAUUACAUGCAAAAUUCAGCUGAGAGUUGAUUUCUUGGCUGGAGAUGCUGAACACAGAGGUGCAGGAGAUCUGUGCCUUCAGCAGGCUGUGACUGGAGGAAAUAGCUGCGAGCUGCUGCGACCAGAGGCUUCCUGGUGGGUGGUGGGGAAGGCAGAACUCGAGAGAAGGCCGAGGAGGAGGCGUGGGUGAACAGCUCAGAGCAAACCGGAGCUGCCAAACCACAUCCCUGCGUCACCAGGGCAGGGCAGCAGCUCACAGCACACACAGGAAACCCGGGGUGUCCCUCCUGAGGACCGGGGUGCUGCUGGACACUGUUCAGGGUUGGACUUGGAUUUUUGUGGGUGUCCAGGACAUCCCUGUGGCCACCCUGGAGGGUUUGGGGACCGGACAGGGGGUCUGGGGUCUGUCCAGGGGCUCAGGCAGCCUCACACAGAGCCCAGGAGGACACUGCCUCUGAUCCCUGCCAUGGAGUGAAUGCCCACAGUGUGUGAACAAUCACAACCCGAGAGAAUUCAA
Molecule: long non-coding RNA, 4470 nt
Organism: Prinia subflava (tawny-flanked prinia)
Lineage: Eukaryota; Metazoa; Chordata; Aves; Passeriformes; Cisticolidae
Exons: 3
Source: RefSeq, a predicted model, not a curated record